CAGCCGCCGCGGUAAUACGUAGGGCGCGAGCGUUGUCCGGAAUUACUGGGCGUAAAGAGCUCGUAGGCGGCUUGUCGCGUCGCCCGUGGAAACCUGGGGCUCAACCCCGGGCGCGCGGGCGAUACGGGCAGGCUUGAGUGAUGCAGGGGAGACUGGAAUUCCUGGUGUAGCGGUGAAAUGCGCAGAUAUCAGGAGGAACACCGGUGGCGAAGGCGGGUCUCUGGGCAUCAACUGACGCUGAGGAGCGAAAGCGUGGGGAGCGAACAGGAUUAGAUACCCUGGUAGUCCACGCCGUAAACGGUGGGCGCUAGGUGUGGGCUUCCUUCCACGGGGUCCGUGCCGCAGCUAACGCAUUAAGCGCCCCGCCUGGGGAGUACGGCCGCAAGGCUAAAACUCAAAGGAAUUGACGGGGGCCCGCACAAGCGGCGGAGCAUGUGGAUUAAUUCGAUGCAACGCGAAGAACCUUACCUGGGUUUGACAUGCACGGGAAAGCCGCGGAGACGCGGCCCCCCCUCGGGGCCCGUGUGCAGGUGGUGCAUGGCC
This 543-nucleotide ribosomal RNA is filed under the name uncultured archaeon. Its description in RNAcentral is "bacterial SSU rRNA". It matches the Rfam family "Bacterial small subunit ribosomal RNA", at positions 509 to 1050 of the family's 1533-position model. The record is from RNAcentral.